UACGGGGGGGGCAAGCGUUGUUCGGAAUUACUGGGCGUAAAGGGUUCGUAGGUGGCCAACUAAGUCAGACGUGAAAUCCCUCAGCUUAACUGGGGAACUGCGUCUGAUACUGGAUGGCUUGAGUGCAGGAGAGGAAUGCGGAAUUCCAGGUGUAGCGGUGAAAUGCGUAGAUAUCUGGAGGAACACCGGUGGCGAAGGCGGCAUUCUGGACUGCAACUGACACUGAGGAACGAAAGCCAGGGGAGCAAACGGG
This 253-nucleotide ribosomal RNA is filed under the name uncultured bacterium. RNAcentral describes it as "partial 16S ribosomal RNA". It matches the Rfam family "Bacterial small subunit ribosomal RNA", at positions 524 to 776 of the family's 1533-position model. The record is from RNAcentral.